GCCCCUCAUCAGCUUUGUUGCCCUUAAAGUGUAGUAUCUGUUCUUAUCAGUUUAAUAUCUGAUGCAUCCUUGAUGAGAGGACUUUAUACUAAAGGGAUUUGUGGGCAUGGGAGUUGGAUCCAGAGCUUGCUCCCUCCGCUCCAUGCAUCGUCCUGGUAUUGCAGUGCCUCCACUUUCUUUUUUUAACAG
Small nuclear RNA from Pogoniulus pusillus (Red-fronted tinkerbird), 189 nucleotides. RefSeq annotates it as U2 spliceosomal RNA. NCBI's taxonomy places the organism in Eukaryota, Metazoa, Chordata, Aves, Piciformes, Lybiidae. The record is from RefSeq and is a predicted model, not a curated record. The transcript has a single exon.